ACAAAGGCUCUUUUCAGAGCCACCUACGACUUCCGUUAAAUGAGCU
Papio anubis (olive baboon) is the source of this 46-nucleotide non-coding RNA. The record is from Rfam. Lineage: Eukaryota; Metazoa; Chordata; Mammalia; Primates; Cercopithecidae.